GGGGAAGCAAUUGUGGAGUAAAGUUCCACCAAAUAAAUGAAGCAUAUGAUAUUGUGAUUAGUAAUUUACGAGGGGAAGUGAGCACACCACAAACAGAGAUGUGCGACGAUGGUGAUUCGGAAGAAGGGAUGAGAGGAAUGAACGAUCAAGAUUGGGAGUUGUGGGAAGAGUGGAUGGGAUGGGAAGGUGCUGGAAUUCGAGAUUACUCUUCCCAUAUUAACCCUUACAUUUAAUGACAUCUUCAAAAUGAGUUUAAUCAAGUGUUUAUAUAUAUAUAUAUUGUAUUGAAGUUGUAAAGAUGGUUGAGGUUGCUGUGUAUAAUGAUGUUUAAUAUAUAUAUUUUUUUUUUUGCUGUAUAUAUCAUGGCAUUGUUCCUUGGAAGGAACACUGUUAAUUGUAUCUUGUAUAUCAAUGUUAAUUAUUAAAUGAUUUUACUUAGUA
This is a non-coding RNA of Erythranthe guttata (spotted monkey flower), 441 nucleotides long. The record is from RefSeq and is a predicted model, not a curated record. Lineage: Eukaryota; Viridiplantae; Streptophyta; Magnoliopsida; Lamiales; Phrymaceae.